RNAcentral lists this unclassified non-coding RNA (563 nucleotides) under Tilletiopsis lilacina. Lineage: Eukaryota; Fungi; Basidiomycota; Exobasidiomycetes; Entylomatales. The record is from RNAcentral.
UGAGUAGGUCACACUUGAAAGCCGUCGAACCUAUAUUCAUUGCUUAGCAGCUUAAUCCUCACGGGUGGAGCUCGGCGUGAUUGGGGACGAUAGGGUGGUAGAUCAGCAAUGAUCAAUCUCCUUGCCAGACUUGUUCCGCCCUCGGGUGUUGACAACAAGCACUGCAGAAAAUUGUGGAUCUACUUGCCGAUGGCCAGACCUAAGCAGCAGAAACACAUUCGAAGAUACGCAAUCAUCAGGUGCCACCUCCAUGGCUGCCGGUGAUGUGCAGUCUUCUCCAAGGAUUGUGAUUUCAGUCUCCACGGUAACGCUGUGAAAACGCGACCAUGCCAGACCGGAAGAGCAUAUCCAGAGCACAUAAGACCGGCGAACAAGGAAGCUUUGUACUUGUCCUCUGCGAUGCCUCACGGCGCAGCGGAUGAUGAGUCUUUGCCUUAUUGCAAUCUUGCGUAACAAACACAGUGGCGCGCAGCCUAGACGUAACAGUCUUGGCCGCCGCCUAUGGCUGGAGGAGCCCGCUUCUUCUGCCGCUUAGUGAUAGUUACCUGGUUGAUUCUGCCAGU